AAAAAAGUUCAGUUCAAGUAAACCCGUGUAGAUAGUAGAAAAGUGUGUUAUAAUUUUGAUUGGGACCAUAUGAAAUUGGCUGGCUAGCAGGGUCUGACACAAACCCCCUAAAUUUACGAGGCCGUUCCGCCUAGGGAUCCUACAUUCAGAGAUAUGCGAAAGCGGCCAUCUUGAGCCAAUCGAGCAUUGAGAGCUGUCAAAAUCUGAGCCAAAUGAACAUCGUUAUUGUUGCAGAUCGAAAGGUAUUGCGAUUUUGGUGAAAGAGAUUUUAUGAAAAGUUUUAUCGAAUAAACAAUUUGUUUUGCUUUCCGAAAAUGCACUGCUAGAGGAUAGACAAAAUAAUCAAAAGGUGUCUUCGAAUGUAAAGUCAUGUGCAAGCCUAAACAUUUUUCACUGCGGCAAGUGCUGGCAGCGUUUGUUUACAAAAGUAACAGCGUUGCUAAAUCGUCUGCAAAAGUAUUCGCACAUCUCUUAAUAUAGGAUCCCUAGUUCCGCCUAUAUUUUCGGUAAACUAUGCUGCACAAUUUUGCUAAGAGUAACUCGCUGGCCCUCGGACGAUUAUCAGCUGCCCCUAACAUGGAGAACAGAUGCUGUUGUGAGCCGCUUCUAACCUGGAGAACAUUCAUUACAUUCAUUACAACCUGGAGAACAGACGCUCGUUUAGAUGUUCACCCCAAGAGAGGAGCAAACCCCCUUCACGUUCCCUGUCAGCAUACAACCAUAGUUCCCACUGGGGUUGGUUACCCGAUACUCCCUAAGGUUGCACGUUCCCCGGCCAGCACCACGGAGAGGCAGGGAUAGACGUUGCUGAGUAAGAGGCUGAGAACCGCGAGAUGGGGUAUAUCUCGGGGUAUAUUUUAUUCCUUCAGGUACGCGAAGUUCCAAUGUGAACCAAAAUGAGAAAUAAAACUUUUGGGUACAAGGUAACACCCUUUAGUAUGCGACACAAACGGAUGAUCGGAAGGAUCUGCAAAAGCUGCCUAAAAUACAGGUCUGGAAUCAAGGAAACCGUCAUCAUGUUGCGUAUUCAAUCGACUGGAUAGCGAUUUUA
Armigeres subalbatus is the source of this 1051-nucleotide long non-coding RNA. RefSeq lists it as uncharacterized. The record is from RefSeq and is a predicted model, not a curated record. The transcript has 4 exons. Lineage: Eukaryota; Metazoa; Arthropoda; Insecta; Diptera; Culicidae.